CUCUGAGCUUCAAUCUGCUGAGUCAGCAGAGGAGAGUCGAUCACCUGGACACCCGAACCUGAACUCACGCCCGACAUCAUGUUCACUGCGGGAGCGAAAGAGCAGAUAAUUCUGUAUACCUGCUCUCCUGCCUUGAACGCCACAUCCUCCAGUUUGACGGCCGACAGCCCCUCCUGUUCCCCAAGAGGAGACAUCAUCUGAGCUCCAGCUGCUGCCACCUCCUGCAGCACGGCCACCACCCAGGUCAGGUGUUUCCUACAGUCGGAGAGGGUGUCGCACACCUGCACCACAAAGGUCAACGUGACUUCACUUAUUACAACAGGUUGCGGACCAUCAGGACUAAAACCUCACGCCAUAAACACAGUUUCUUCCCCCCUCUGUAGUCAGCCCUCUGUCACUGUCACUCAAACUCCUUUCUGAAAUGAUACAGCAAUGCUUUGACGUAAAAAAUAAAAAAGUGGACGGUGAAGCGGUUUGGUUGCCGAGGUUACCUGUUGUCCGAAGUCGAGUGCUGCUGGGAUGCCCGGCGCGUCUGUUCCGGGCAUCCUGCGG
Molecule: long non-coding RNA, 552 nt
Organism: Perca fluviatilis (European perch)
Lineage: Eukaryota; Metazoa; Chordata; Actinopteri; Perciformes; Percidae
Exons: 3
Source: RefSeq, a predicted model, not a curated record